UGCCAGGGUGGCACUGUGUGAGGAGACU
Molecule: non-coding RNA, 28 nt
Filed under: Rattus norvegicus (Norway rat)
Lineage: Eukaryota; Metazoa; Chordata; Mammalia; Rodentia; Muridae
Source: RNAcentral